Molecule: ribosomal RNA, 189 nt
Filed under: uncultured bacterium
Lineage: Bacteria
Description: partial 16S ribosomal RNA
Rfam family: Bacterial small subunit ribosomal RNA
Source: RNAcentral
CUCGCCUACACGAAGUCGGAAUUGCUAGUAAUCGCGGAUCAGCAUGCCGCGGUGAAUACGUUCCCGGGCCUUGUACACACCGCCCGUCACACCAUGGGAGCCGGUAAUACCCGAAGUCAGUAGUCCAACCUCGUGAGGACGCUGCCGAAGGUAGGAUUGGCGACUGGGGUGAAGUCGUAACAAGGUAAC